Small nuclear RNA from Pygocentrus nattereri (red-bellied piranha), 164 nucleotides. Its record names the gene U2. It matches the Rfam family "U2 spliceosomal RNA". From Rfam's summary of the family: U2 is a small nuclear RNA (snRNA) component of the spliceosome (involved in pre-mRNA splicing). The record is from Ensembl. NCBI's taxonomy places the organism in Eukaryota, Metazoa, Chordata, Actinopteri, Characiformes, Serrasalmidae.
UUUGCUUCUCCGCCUUUUGGCUAUAGUAUCUGUUCUUAUCAGUUUAAUAUCUGAUACGUCCUCUAUAUACUACAUAUUAAAUUGAUUUUUAGAACAGGGAGAGGGAAGAGGGGCUCCACGCAUCAACCUGGUAUCGCAGUACCUCAGGGAAUGGUGCAUCUCAG